Molecule: ribosomal RNA, 206 nt
Filed under: uncultured bacterium
Lineage: Bacteria
Description: partial 16S ribosomal RNA
Rfam family: Bacterial small subunit ribosomal RNA
Source: RNAcentral
UGCGUAGGCGGCUAGAUAAGUCAGAGGUGAAAUGCUACGGCUUAACUGUGGAAUUGCCUUUGAAACUAUAUAGCUAGAAUAGAGUUGAGGUUGGCGGAAUGUGACAUGUAGCGGUGAAAUGCAUAGAUAUGUCAUAGAACAUCGAUUGCGAAGGCAGCUAACUGGGCUUUUAUUGAAGCUGAGGCACGAAGCGUGGGGAUCAAACA